CCGGCUGCUCCGGCUUCUCCAGAUCUCAGCAAGUUCCGGGGGCCGGUCUCCGCGGCCAGGCUCUCGGCGUCGAUAAAGAUUGGAGGGUCCUGGCCACCACAAAGACGACAGGCGUGAGCCGCCGGCGUGUGCUUGGAACCGCAGCGUGCGGCGCGCGGGCUCAGUGGCCGUGUGGCCGCAGCGCUCAGAGUCUGGAGGAAGAGGCUCGGGAGCAGAGAAACGCCGCCGGACAGAGAGGCACCCCGGGGCUCCGUCCCAGGUUUGCUUCUCAUCGGGAGGAGUGGUCUUGACCAAAUGAUUCCUCCCCUUCAUCCAAUAAUAAGAGCAGGGAAUUUGCUGUGUGCCACGAACAAUGCCAAGGACUUAAUGUGCCGGGUCUCAGGAGAACUGAGCUAUUCAGGAGGUCAGAGCUUCUCCAGUGAUGGAUUCUGGAGAGAGGAGGCCAGUGGAGCAGGAAGAAGACCUUGCCCCCCUACACUAGAUCGGGAUGGAUGUUCCUAAAGGAGUAGAAAAGGGAGGUAUGCACUCAGUCUUGGCCUGCUCACCUGUCUCCUCCCCUAAUACCAACCAAGUGGCUGAGUAAUUCCCCUGCCCUCAAUUCCCUUCUUUUCACAUUAGAGACUCUGGGGUUUAAAGGAACUUCCCAGGUGUCUCAGUGGUGAAGAAUCCAUCAUCUCAAUGCGGGAGACGUGGGUUCGAUCCCUGGGUCAGGAAGAUCCCCUGGAGGAGGAAAUGACAACCCACUCCAAUAUUCUUGCUGGGAUAAUAACCCCAUGGACAGAGGAGCCUGGCGGGCUACACUUCAUGGGGUCACAAUGACAGGACUGAGUAUGCAUACACGCUGGGGUUUAAAUUUCUAAAGAGACUUUAUAUAGCAUUUGCCUUGAUCAUCUGUUUUGUUUCCUUUACAGACCCUCAGGGUUCAGUCUAACCUCACUGCUUCAGCUGCAGCCACUGUCACUUGCCAGAUUCCACAGCUACCUUUCUCAGAAUAAGGACAUUUCCUGUUGAAGACUGUGGGAUGCUGCCCCUCAUUUCUCUCUUUCUGGAUGCUCAACACUCCUGUGCAAGUCUGACAGGACCCAACCUGACCUGAGGGUGAUGGGCUAGACUGGACUCACCACCUCAAUUCUUCCCCAGGACAGAGUCAUGACCACUAACCCAAUCCCAGAGUCCCUGAGAGGGUGCUGCCCAAGGAAGCAGCAUCGGUCUGUGCUGUGUGCUCCACAUUCCAGAAGCAAAUUUCUCUUCCAGUUUUACUUUAGCUGACUCUGAUUUUAAAACGUGACUUUGAGUCCUCAGAACAAUGAGUUGCAUAAUUUGGAGGCAUAUGUAGUAGACCGGAUGUGUGACCCCACCCCUAAUGUGUCAUGCCCUGACUGACUGAGCUGUUCUCUUCUCACAGGAAGGUGAGCCACACAGGAUGGUGACUGCAUGGCAGGCCACUUUAAAAUAGUUUCUGUAAUUGAAAAUGUUAUAAAGCCACCUGGUUAAAAAGAAAUUCAAGCACUAGAGAAAAGUAGACAGUGAAGAUUCAUUUCCGUCACCCCUCUCCAGAAAUCAUCUCUGCCUGCUCAUGACAGAAACGUCCCAUCAUUGAGCUCUUCUGCCAGACAGGCCUGGAUUUCCCAUGCCUCAACAAGCCCUGUGAAUAUCUUCUCUCUCUCUUUUUUUUUUCCCUCAAAUUCUUAUUCUUUGGCCAAUUUAGAUUCUGUUUUGGGGUAUUCUGAAGUUUCGCUUUUCACAGUGUGCUUCAGGGGGAUCCCCCCAGCAAGGCAGGAAGCGUGGUGUGGUGCACAUUGACAGGAAGCUGGCAGACAAGAACAGCUCUGGGAGGCUACUGACUUCAGCCUUGUCCCCUAGCUAGUCUCUUGCACACGUGGUCUCUGGCAAGAGGACGCCCACUUCUGGGUGGGGCAGAAUGAGGGAGACUUGCUCACAAGGAGGAUGUGCUGCCGCCACCUGGGAGGGAAAGAUUGUGGAGAAGCUGUCGGGGAAACUGCUAGGGAGGUCAGGAGGGAGGGCAGACUGUACCCCUCCCCCGCCCUCUGUAAGUACCCCCGUGGAAGGAACCUAACAAUCUCCUGAACUUCUGUCUCAGUUUCUGAUCUGUAAGGAUUAAUGGUGCCUUAGAGGUGGCUGUGCAGGUGGAGUAGAUAACUGACAUGAAAAUGGGAUGGUUUGAUUCUUCUGUUUACAUCCAUUUAUCUCUUUUCUCUUCCUAUUUCGCCUUCCUCUUUUUCAUCUCAUUCCCCUGGAUCUGAAGAGAAACCAUCAGCAAUGGAGAAACAGACAUAGACAACAGACCUAUGGACAUGGAAGGAAGAGAGGAGGGAGAACGGGAGAUGUAUGGAGAGAGUAACAGAAAUUUACAAUAUUGUGUGUAAAAUAGAUGCUGCUGCUGCUGCUAAGUAGCUUCAGUCGUGUCCGACUCUGUGCGACCCCAUAGACGGCAGCCCACUAGGCUCCCCUGUCCCUGGGAUUCUCCAGGCAAGACACUGGAGUGGGUUGCCAUUUCCUUCUCCAGUGUAAAAUAGAUAGCCAAUGGGAAUUUUCUGUAUGACUCAGGGAACUUAAACAGGGGCUCUGUGACAGGAUGAAGGGUGAGAUGGGGAGGGAGAUGGGAGAAGGGUCUGGGAGGGAGGGGACAUGGGUGUACUAUGGCUGAUUCUUAUUGAUGUAUGAUAGAAAGCCACAAAAUUCUGUAAAGCAAUUAUCCUUCAAUUAAAAAACUUAUAUAUAUAUAUAUAAAAGAAUCCCCUUUCCAAUGCAGGAGACCUGGGUUCCGUCCCUAGCUGGAGAACUAAGAUACCACCUGUGGCAGACCAAGACCAUGAGGGGCAACGAAAGAUCCCAACUGUUGCAACUAAGACCUGACACAGCCAAUGAAUAAAUAAAUACUUUUAAAAAAAGCA
Long non-coding RNA from Bos mutus (wild yak), 2915 nucleotides. The record is from Ensembl. Lineage: Eukaryota; Metazoa; Chordata; Mammalia; Artiodactyla; Bovidae.